AGGGUCCGAGGUGGAUGCCUAGGCACCAAGAGCCGAAGAAAGACGCGGCUACCUGCGAUAAGCGUCGGGGAGUUGGAAGCGAACGAUGAUCCGGCGGUUUCUGAAUGGAGUAAUCCGCUCGAGGUAAUGCUCGAGCACCCCUGGUUGAACACAUAGACCAGGUGGAGGGCACCCGGGGAACUGAAACAUCUUAGUACCCGGAGGAAGCGAUAUUCCCUUAGUAGAGGCGAUCGAAAAGGGAGCAGCCUAAACCGUGUGCGUGUCAAGCCGGCAGGCGUUGCGCGCGCGGUGUCGUGGGAUCGUUUAUCGAGCUCUGCCGAGCUCGAGCGAAGUUACAAAACCGGCGGUUAGCCGAGGCAGGUGGAAACCUGCGCCACAGAAGGUGACAGCCCUGUAGGCGAAAGCUGACCGGUCUUCGUAGCGACACCCGAGUACCCCGGGACACGCGGAAUCCUGGGGGAAUCCGCGCAGACCACUGCGUAAGGCUAAAUACUCUUGGUGACCGAUAGUGAAGAGUACCGUGAGGGAAAGGUGAAAAGCACCCCGGGAGGGGAGUGAAAUAGAAACCUGAAACCUUGGACCUACAAACUGUCAAAGGCUUAGGUGCAUUUAUCCUUCGGGAUUUUUGCACGGGCUGAUGGCGUGCCUUUUGUAGAAUGAGCCGGCGAGUUACUGUUUGUGGCGAGGCUAAGGGGUUUACACCCGGAGCCGUAGCGAAAGCGAGUCCGAAUAGGGCGCGACCUCCGCAAGGAGGCUGUAGUCGUAGGCAGUAGACCCGAAACUUGGUGACCUACCCAUGGUCAGGUUGAAGCGGAGGUAAAACUCCGUGGAGGACCGAACUGAUCUGUGUUGCAAAACGGACGGAUGAACUGUGGGUAGAGGUGAAAUGCCAAUCGAACCAAGAGAUAGCUGGUUCUCCUCGAAAUGCCUUUAGGGGCAGCGUUGUUGUGGGCUGUCGCAGGUAGAGCACUGAAUGGGCUAGGGGCGGUUCCCCCGUUACCAAACCCAACCAAACUCCGAAUGGCGGCAGGUUAAACAGGAGCAGUGAGACCGUGGGGGCUAAGCUUCACGGUCAAAAGGGAAACAACCCAGACCAUCGGCUAAGGUCCCAAAGUGAAGACUAAGUGGCGAAGGAGGUCGCUUCGCACAAACAACCAGGAGGUUGGCUCAGAAGCAGCCACCCUUUAAAGAGUGCGUAACAGCUCACUGGUCGAGUGAAGUGGCGCCGAAAAUGAUCGGGUCUUAAGUCUUUCACCGAAGCCAUGGAAUUGCAGCGCAAGCUGCGAUUGGUAGAGGAGCUUCGUACAAGCGGUGAAGCAUGAACGUAAGUCCGUGUGGAGUUUGUACGAGUGCGAAUGCCGGCACAAGUAGCGUAAAGGUCGGUGAGAAACCGGCCCGCCGUAAAUCUUAGGUUUCCUGGGCUACGUUAAUCGUCCCAGGGUCAGUCGGGCCUAAGCCGAGGCCGCAAGGCGUAGGCGAUGGACAUCUGGCGCACAUUCCAGAACCACCUCGCGUUCGUUUUACCGAUGGGAGGACGAAGGAGGGUAGGCCAACCGGACGAUCGGAUGUGUCCGGCCAAGACCGUAGGGAGCUCUGAUUGGAAAAUCCGUCGGAGCGCUAAUCCUGAGAGUUGAUGGGGAGCUGACCGCAAGGUCGGCGUAGUGGCUGAUCCCAAACUUCCGAGAAAAGUCUCUAGGAAGAAUGCAGGUGCCCGUACCGCAAACCGACGCUGGUAGAUGGGAAGAGGAUUCCAAGGCGAUCGAGAGAAAUCUGUCUAAGGAACUCGGCAAAAUAACCCCGUAACUUCGGGAGAAGGGGUGCCUUUGGCGGUGUAGGAGUUCACCUCCGAAGCCGUUGAGGGUUGCAACAAAGAGGCUCAACCGACUGUUUACUAAAAACACAGGUCUCUGCGAACCCGUAAGGGGACGUAUAGGGGCUGACGCCUGCCCGGUGCCGGAAGGUUAAGGGGAGAGCUGCAAGGCUUGAACUGAAGCCCCGGUAAACGGCGGCCGUAACUAUAACGGUCCUAAGGUAGCGAAAUUCCUUGUCGGGCAAGUUCCGACCCGCACGAAUGGCGUAACGAGUUGAGCGCUGUCUCGGACAGAUACUCGGCGAAACUGCAAUACCUGUGAAGAUACAGGUUACCCGCGGCAGGACGGAAAGACCCCGUGGAGCUUUACUACACCUUGGCAUUGGACUGGGGUUUAGCGUGUAGAGGAUAGCUGGGAGGCUAUGAAGCUCAGGCGUCAGCCUGGGUGGAGCCAACAGUGGAAUACCAGCCUCGCUGAACUUUAGCUCUAACGGUGACCCUGAUCGGGUUUCCGAACAGUGCCUGGCGGGUAGUUUGACUGGGGCGGUCGCCUCCCAAAAAGUAACGGAGGCGCCCAAAGGUUCCCUCAGCCUGGGCGGAAAUCAGGCGCAGAGUGCAAUGGCACAAGGGAGCUUGACUGUGAGACAAACGAGUCGAGCAGGGACGAAAGUCGGGCAUAGUGAUCCGACGGCCCGGUGUGGAAUGGCCGUCGCUCAACGGAUAAAAGUUACCCCGGGGAUAACAGGCUUAUCGGGCCCAAGAGUUCACAUCGACGGCCCGGUUUGGCACCUCGAUGUCGGCUCGUCGCAUCCUGGGGCUGGAGUCGGUCCCAAGGGUUGGGCUGUUCGCCCAUUAAAGCGGUACGCGAGCUGGGUUUAGAACGUCGUGAGACAGUUCGGUCCCUAUCCGCCGUGGGCGCAGGAGACUUGAGGAGGGUUGACCCUAGUACGAGAGGACCGGGUUGAACGGCCCGCUAGUGUACCGGUUGUCACGCCAGUGGCAGCGCCGGGUAGCCAUGGCCGGUUUGGAUAAGCGCUGAAAGCAUCUAAGUGCGAAGCCAACUCCAAGAUAAGGUCUCCCACCGGGUUAACCGGGUAAGGGCCCUGGUAGACAACCAGGUUGAUAGGCCGCAGGUGUAAGAGGAGCAAUCCUUUGAGCUGAGCGGUACUAAUAGCCCGAGGGCUUGU
This 2997-nucleotide ribosomal RNA is filed under the name sediment metagenome. Its description in RNAcentral is "bacterial LSU rRNA". It matches the Rfam family "Bacterial large subunit ribosomal RNA". The record is from RNAcentral.